UACAGAGGUCUCAAGCGUUGUUCGGAAUCACUGGGCGUAAAGGGUGUGUAGGCUGCGUGUUAAGUCAGAUGUGAAAGCCCGGGGCUCAACCCCGGAACUGCAUCCGAUACUGGCAUGCUCGAGAAUUGGAGAGGAGUCUAGAAUUCACGGUGUAGCAGUGAAAUGCGUAGAUAUCGUGAGGAAUACCAAGUGCGAAGGCAGGACUCUGGACAUUUUCUGACGCUGAGACACGAAGGCCAGGGGAGCAAACGGG
Molecule: ribosomal RNA, 253 nt
Filed under: uncultured bacterium
Lineage: Bacteria
Description: partial 16S ribosomal RNA
Rfam family: Bacterial small subunit ribosomal RNA
Source: RNAcentral